AAAGCUCAAGCUCCUAACCUGCACUUGAAGAGACUCAAGCAAAUAUCUUUGUCGGAUUUAAUGAAAUCAAUUAUCUUAGGAUAACUCCUAAGAGAUGGCAAGGUUCUCCGUUCGUUAUAGCCAAAUGAAGGAAAAUUACUUUCGGUGGAUGGAAAGUAGGCUCACUGCAUGAAAUCUUGGCACUAAGUUCCGUGCAGGGGCAAGCCGUCGAUGGCUUUGGCCAGAACAAGUGGCUACUGAUGACUUCGACAAAGAAUAUGUUAAGCUUUUAGCCCGAGACUUAGACACUUUUCGAAAGGAAGGUUUAACGGGCCUAUUCGAAAAAAUCGAAAGUACGGUAAUUCAAGCCAAGAGUCUAACUGCCGCCUUUGGUCUGGUAUUGAGGAACUUAAGAGACUGCUUUGAAUGAUCUUACCACAUGUCCCGUGCGAGCAUGCCCAGGAAAGCCAUAUUAUUGGUUUACAAAGAUCCUGAAAUUCAACAACGCUGGAUCUCUGAAAUGAAGAAAGCUUUGCCUCUUUUUUCGAAGUGCAUUAACCAAUAGUUAGCCAAUAAAAAAGAAAGCAACUGCAAAGAUUGGAGUUCAGAGAAUGAUAUAGUCCAUUUUUGAAGAUAAUCAUCACGUAGUGAUCGUGAUGGGAUUAUUUUCCAUCAUUGACCUCGAGAAGCAGCUAAGCCACUGAACAAGGGCUCAAUGCUGGCGAAAAACUAUCUUCAAUAUGACCCUGGUAGUCUAUGCCGUAAACGAUGAGUGUUCGUCCUUGGUCUGCGCUGUAUGCAAAAUGGCUGAUCAGGGGCCCCGCUAACGCGUUAAACACUCCGCCUGGGGAGUACGGCCGCAAGGCUGAAACUCAAAGGAAUUGACGGGGGCCUGCACAAGCGGUGGAGCAUGUGGUUUAAUUCGAUACAACGCGCAAAACCUUACCAGCCCUUGACAUAUGAAUAAGUUUGCUUGUCCUUAAUGGGAUGGUACGAAAAUUUAUACAGGUGCUGCAUGGCUGUCGUCAGCUCGUGUCGUGAGAUGUUGGGUUAAGUCCUAUAACGAGCGCAACCCUCGUUUUGUGUUGCUAAGACAUGCGUUUUGGAUUAAAGGAUCGAUUAUUGAGCACUUAAAAGUAACGAAGACCACAACAUUAAAAAAAGGAUAUCACAACACCGUGUGGCUACGACUACACAGUUGUCGAAGGGUACUUCGACAGGCACAGCUCUCAUAGCGUGGCACACAUAACAAUGUGGCACCCAGUCUUUGUAAAAAUAAUUGACAAUCCAUGCCAUGUACACUGCACUCACAAGAAACUGCCAGUGAUAUACUGGAGGAAGGUGGGGAUGACGUCAAGUCCGCAUGGCCCUUAUGGGCUGGGCUACACACGUGCUACAAUGGCAAUUACAAUAGGAAGCAAGGCUUUAAGGCAGAGCGAAUCCAGAAAGAUGGCCUCAGUUCGGAUUGUUCUCUGCAACUCGAGAACAUGAAGUUGGAAUCGCUAGUAAUCGCGGAUCAGCAUGCCGCGGUGAAUAUGUACUCAGGCCCUGUACACACCGCCCGUCACACCAUGGGAAUUGGCUUCGCCCGAAGCAUCAGACCAAGGAUCACCCAAUUAUUCAGUGUUCUAUGCGUUGUUGAGUGUGGUCUACCAGAGUAAUUGGUGGUUUAAUGUGGGAUACCAAGGUGGGGCCUUUGACUGAGGUGAAGUCGUAACAA
RNAcentral lists this ribosomal RNA (1699 nucleotides) under Atrichum angustatum. RNAcentral's name for it is "SSU rRNA". The stretch from base 612 to 1699 matches the Rfam family "Bacterial small subunit ribosomal RNA". Lineage: Eukaryota; Viridiplantae; Streptophyta; Polytrichopsida; Polytrichales; Polytrichaceae. The record is from RNAcentral.